RNAcentral lists this transfer RNA (87 nucleotides) under Planctomycetaceae bacterium. RNAcentral describes it as "tRNA-Leu". It matches the Rfam family "tRNA". From Rfam's summary of the family: Transfer RNA (tRNA) molecules are approximately 80 nucleotides in length. Their secondary structure includes four short double-helical elements and three loops (D, anti-codon, and T loops). The record is from RNAcentral. Lineage: Bacteria; Pseudomonadati; Planctomycetota; Planctomycetia; Planctomycetales; Planctomycetaceae.
GGCUGAGUGGUGGAAUUGGCAGACACACAGGACUUAAAAUCCUGCGGGGUGAAUAGCCCUGUGCGGGUUCGAACCCCGCCUCAGCUA